RNAcentral lists this ribosomal RNA (480 nucleotides) under uncultured bacterium. RNAcentral's name for it is "bacterial SSU rRNA". It matches the Rfam family "Bacterial small subunit ribosomal RNA", at positions 30 to 507 of the family's 1533-position model. The record is from RNAcentral.
AUUGAACGCUGGCGGAAUGCUUUACACAUGCAAGUCGAACGGUAGAGGGGGCAACCCCUUGAGAGUGGCGAACGGGUGAGUAAUAUAUCGGAACGUGCCCAGUCGUGGGGGAUAACGUGGUGAAAAUUACGCUAAUACCGCAUACGAUCUAAGGAUGAAAGCGGGGGAUCGCAAGACCUCGCGCGACUGGAGCGGCCGAUAUCAGAUUAGGUAGUUGGUGGGGUAAAGGCUCACCAAGCCAACGAUCUGUAGCUGGUCUGAGAGGACGACCAGCCACACUGGAACUGAGACACGGUCCAGACUCCUACGGGAGGCAGCAGUGGGGAAUUUUGGACAAUGGACGCAAGUCUGAUCCAGCCAUUCCGCGUGCAGGAUGAAGGCCCUCGGGUUGUAAACUGCUUUUGUACGGAACGAAAAGGUUUCUAUUAAUACUAGGGGCUCAUGACGGUACUGUAAGAAUAAGCACCGGCUAACUACGUG